GCCUGAGUGGCUCAGCGGUUGAGCGUCUGCCUUUGGCUCAGGGUGUGAUCCCAGAGGUCCAGGAUCAAGUCCUGCAUCAGGCU
This 83-nucleotide transfer RNA is filed under the name Canis lupus familiaris (dog). It matches the Rfam family "tRNA". Rfam says of the family: Transfer RNA (tRNA) molecules are approximately 80 nucleotides in length. Their secondary structure includes four short double-helical elements and three loops (D, anti-codon, and T loops). Further hydrogen bonds mediate the characteristic L-shaped molecular structure. tRNAs have two regions of fundamental functional importance: the anti-codon, which is responsible for specific mRNA codon recognition, and the 3' end, to which the tRNAs corresponding amino acid is attached (by aminoacyl-tRNA synthetases). tRNAs cope with the degeneracy of the genetic code in two manners: having more than one tRNA (with a specific anti-codon) for a particular amino acid; and 'wobble' base-pairing, i.e. permitting non-standard base-pairing at the 3rd anti-codon position. Lineage: Eukaryota; Metazoa; Chordata; Mammalia; Carnivora; Canidae. The record is from Rfam by way of RNAcentral. RNAcentral also lists the same sequence under 1 other name.